AUGUGCCUCAAUGCUUGCAAAGAGGGCUUCCUAAAUGGUUGUAGACCCUUCAUAGGUACUUGCAUAAUUAUUUUCCCAACAUAUUUGCCAUUGCUUUUGUUUAUGUUUGGUGCUAAUGUGUUAUGUUUGGUUGUAGGUGUUGAUGGUUGCUUUGUUAAGUUGACAACAGGGCAACAAAUAUUGGCUGCAACUGGAAGAGAUGGUAAUAACAACAUCUUUCCCAUUACAUUUGCUAUUGUUGACAAGGAGGACAUUGCCAGCUGGUCUUGGUUUCUAACCCAGCUCAAGUAUGCUCUUGGUGGUGAGUCAGGGAAGUAUGGCAAGUACACUAUCAUAUCUGAUAGACAAAAGGUACCUCAUACAUCAUAA
RNAcentral lists this ribosomal RNA (369 nucleotides) under Triticum aestivum (bread wheat). RNAcentral describes it as "partial small subunit ribosomal RNA". Lineage: Eukaryota; Viridiplantae; Streptophyta; Magnoliopsida; Poales; Poaceae. The record is from RNAcentral.